This 569-nucleotide ribosomal RNA is filed under the name uncultured Tsukamurella sp. RNAcentral's name for it is "bacterial SSU rRNA". It matches the Rfam family "Bacterial small subunit ribosomal RNA", at positions 364 to 937 of the family's 1533-position model. Lineage: Bacteria; Bacillati; Actinomycetota; Actinomycetes; Mycobacteriales; Tsukamurellaceae. The record is from RNAcentral.
AAGUCAAGGGGGCGAAGCCUGAUGCAGCGACGCCGCGUGAGGGAUGACGGCCUUCGGGUUGUAAACCUCUUUCAGUCAGGGACGAAGCGCAAGUGACGGUACCUGACAGAAGAAGCACCGGCCUAACUACGUGCCAGCAGCCGCGGUAAUACGUAGGGUGCGAGCGUUGUCCGGAUUUACUGGGCGUAAAGAGCUCGUAGGCGGUUUGUCACGUCGGCUGUGAAAACCCGAGGCUUAACCUCGGGCCUGCAGGCGAUACGGGCAGACUUGAGUACUGUAGGGGAGACUGGAAUUCCUGGUGUAGCGGUGAAAUGCGCAGAUAUCAGGAGGAACACCGGUGGCGAAGGCGGAUCUCUGGGCCAGUUAACUGACGCUGAGGAGCGAAAGCGUGGGUAGCGAACAGGAUUAGAUACCCUGGUAGUCCACGCCGUAAACGGUGGGUACUAGGUGUGGGUUACCUUCCACGUGAUCCGUGCCGCUAGCUAACGCAUUAAGUACCCCGCCUGGGGAGUACGGCCGCAAGGCUAAAACUCAAAGAAAUUUGACGGAAGGGGUUUGAAGGUUUGGUG